AAUCUUGCGCAAUGGGCGAAAGCCUGACGCAGCCAUGCCGCGUGAAUGAUGAAGGUCUUCGGAUUGUAAAAUUCUUUCACCGGGGACGAUAAUGACGGUACCCGGAUAAGAAGACCCGGCUCACUUCGUGCUAGCAGCCGCGGUAAUACGAUGGGAGCUAGCGUUGCCCGGCAUUACUGGGCGUAAAGGGCGCGUAGGCGGACAUUUAAGUCAGGGGUGAAAUCCCAGAGCUCAACUCUGGAACUGCCUUUGAUACUGGGUGUCUUGAGUGUGAGAGAGGUAUGUGGAACUCCGAGUGUAGAGGUGAAAUUCGUAGAUAUUCGGAAGAACACCAGUGGCGAAGGCGACAUACUGGCUCAUUACUGACGCUGAGGCGCGAAAGCGUGGGGAGCAAACA
This 397-nucleotide ribosomal RNA is filed under the name uncultured bacterium. RNAcentral describes it as "partial 16S ribosomal RNA". It matches the Rfam family "Bacterial small subunit ribosomal RNA", at positions 360 to 774 of the family's 1533-position model. The record is from RNAcentral.